Non-coding RNA from Drosophila melanogaster (fruit fly), 668 nucleotides. NCBI's taxonomy places the organism in Eukaryota, Metazoa, Arthropoda, Insecta, Diptera, Drosophilidae. The record is from Ensembl.
AGUAUUGCCGGUAUUCCUGGAAAUCUCAGCACCUAUGAUAUGUAUAAUAUUUCUGCUCACAUACUAAAUGAUAUUUGAAAGUGCAAAAUAUUCAGACCCUGAAUUGUCAUCACUGAUGCCCAUUGGCAGCCACCAAAUGACUGGAACGUGAUACACUGCACAUGGGGUUAUGUCAGUGCCAAUGGCAGCGUAUCUCCGACAUCCUGUCCAACCUCCCGGCGAUGUCACCCUCUUUCUUCUCCCUACCCGCCGCCGGACGAAUCCUGCUUGAUAUGAACGGGAUUCCUUGGCGCAGAUGAAUGCAUGCAGUUAUUCGGACCGUAAUGUGAAUUGAUAUGCCAACACGUACGCGGAUUUGGAGGAGCAACUGAUGCGGAGGACAGGUAACAGGUAACAACCUGGGAUAGGGCAAAUAGCUUACGCCCCGUGCCAAGCACUUAAAGAGCAAUUUAAUAACCGCUAUAAAAGGUUUUCUCUCUUCGCCAAAGAAACAAAAGCCAGCCAGGGGGGAUUCCCCUUCCUUUGGCAACGGCAAAAGCAAAUAGAGGAUAACUGGACAAACACAAACAGAGAAUAUCCGGCAAAGGGCAGCACUAAUGUUGCAGACUUCUCUCCUAUAUUAAAUGAAAUGCAAGCUUAAUUGAAAAACGCUGACUUGGCUGCACUGU